This 511-nucleotide long non-coding RNA is filed under the name Phasianus colchicus (ring-necked pheasant). Its description in RNAcentral is "lncRNA (ENSPCLG00000015454.1)". The record is from RNAcentral. Lineage: Eukaryota; Metazoa; Chordata; Aves; Galliformes; Phasianidae.
GUUCAGUUUAGAAAGUCUGUGCUAUUUUCCUGAGCAGUGUAACUACAUGUCAGGAAAACAACAGCAGCAACAGAGAAAAAGCAAUAUGUAUAAUUAUACAGAAGCUGGAGGUAGCGUCUUUCCAGCUAAAGGAUGGAAUAAAGCGGGACACUGGGGGAAUGUGAAGAAAGUGACUGGAAUUAUGGAUCCCAGGGAGAGUACCUGCCCUGUGCAAUGGACUGCCAUGGUCAGAGUUACCACAGAAUAGAGCUCCUGGAUCUGUGCAGCACAGAAAUACUGUGGAAUGUGUGAAGAUCUUCAGUGGUAAUCAUCUCAAAUCAUCUGGUCAGUCCCAUGGCUGUGGCAGGCAGAGAGUGCCAAGCAGCACUGAAGAAGCUGUGCCUUGAAAGAUGAUCACCUGCGGAAGGCACUGAGAUUCCCAAGGAAAGAACUGAUAUUUGAAGGCAGAAGAGAUCACAGACUUCAGAAGCGGUGACUGCAGCCUAGAAUAAAAUCAGUGGCACAGGACUCA